This 418-nucleotide ribosomal RNA is filed under the name uncultured eukaryote. RNAcentral describes it as "bacterial SSU rRNA". It matches the Rfam family "Eukaryotic small subunit ribosomal RNA", at positions 592 to 1018 of the family's 1831-position model. The record is from RNAcentral.
UAAUAGCGUAUAUUAAAGUUGUUGCAGUUAAAAAGCUCGUAGUUGGAUUUCUGGCAGAGUGUCCUUUGGCCAGCAUGACGUUUGGUCCAGAGCGCUCUACCAUCCUUCUGUUAACCUUUACAGGAUUCGUUUUCUGCAUUGGGGCUCAGAUAUUUUACCUUGAGAAAAUUAGAGUGUUCAAAGCAGGCAAUCGCUUGAAUACAUUAGCAUGGAAUAAUAGAAUAGGACUUUGGUUCUAUUUUGUUGGUUUCUAGGACCGAAGUAAUGAUUAAUAGGGACAGUUGGGGGCAUUAGUAUUUAAUUGUCAGAGGUGAAAUUCUUGGAUUUAUGAAAGACUAACUACUGCGAAAGCAUUUGCCAAGGAUGUUUUCAUUAAUCAAGAACGAAAGUUAGGGGAUCGAAGACGAUUAGAUACCAU